AGUGGCGGACGGGUGAGUAACGCGUGAGAAUCUGCCUUCAGGUCGGGGACAACAGAGGGAAACUUCUGCUAAUCCCGGAUGAGCCUUAGGGUAAAAAAUUUAUUGCCUGGAGAUGAGCUCGCGUCUGAUUAGCUAGUUGGUAAGGUAAAAGCUUACCAAGGCAACGAUCAGUAGCUGGUCUGAGAGGAUGAGCAGCCACACUGGGACUGAGACACGGCCCAGACUCCUACGGGAGGCAGCAGUGGGGAAUUUUCCGCAAUGGGCGAAAGCUUGACGGAGCAAGACCGCGUGGGGGAGGAAGGCUCUAGGGUUGUAAACCCCUUUUCUUUGGGAAGAACAAAAUGACGGUACCAAAGGAAUCAGCCUCGGCUAACUCCGUGCCAGCAGCCGCGGUAAUACGGAGGAGGCAAGCGUUAUCCGGAAUGAUUGGGCGUAAAGCGUCCGCAGGUGGCAAUGUAAGUCCGCUGUCAAAACCCAGGGCUCAACUCUGGUCAGGCAGUGGAAACUACAUAGCUAGAGUUCGGUAGGGGCAAAGGGAAUUCCCGGUGUAGCGGUGAAAUGCGUAGAGAUCGGGAAGAACAUCGGUGGCGAAAGCGCUUUGCUAGACCGAAACUGACACUCAGGGACGAAAGCUAGGGGAGCGAAUGGGAUUAGAUACCCC
This 661-nucleotide ribosomal RNA is filed under the name uncultured bacterium. RNAcentral describes it as "bacterial SSU rRNA". It matches the Rfam family "Bacterial small subunit ribosomal RNA", at positions 94 to 788 of the family's 1533-position model. The record is from RNAcentral.